This 89-nucleotide non-coding RNA is filed under the name unclassified sequences. The record is from Rfam.
GACUUCAUAGUCGGAGUCUUAUGCAGUAAUAACCCACUGCGUACCGGAUAGAACCCGGAUUGGACUUCUAAAAUAGGAGAAAAAAAAUG